ACAUGCCUACGGGGGGCAGCAGUGAGGAAUAUUGGUCAAUGGCCGAGAGGCUGAACCAGCCAAGUCGCGUGAGGGAAGACGGCCCUACGGGUUGUAAACCUCUUUUGUCGGGGAGCAAAGCGAGUCACGUGUGACUCAUUGAGAGUACCCGAAGAAAAAGCAUCGGCUAACUCCGUGCCAGCAGCCGCGGUAAUACGGAGGAUGCGAGCGUUAUCCGGAUUUAUUGGGUUUAAAGGGUGCGUAGGCGGACAGUCAAGUCAGCGGUAAAAAUGCGGUGCUCAACGCCGUACAGCCGUUGAAACUGG
RNAcentral lists this ribosomal RNA (305 nucleotides) under uncultured bacterium. RNAcentral's name for it is "bacterial SSU rRNA". It matches the Rfam family "Bacterial small subunit ribosomal RNA", at positions 333 to 636 of the family's 1533-position model. The record is from RNAcentral.